GGCCCGGUGGCGGAAAUGUCUACGCGGGGGCGAUGCAUCGCUCUUUAUCCUGGUUCAAGUCCAGGCUGGGCCUCCA
Molecule: transfer RNA, 76 nt
Filed under: Bradyrhizobium sp. NFR13
Lineage: Bacteria; Pseudomonadati; Pseudomonadota; Alphaproteobacteria; Hyphomicrobiales; Nitrobacteraceae
Also listed under: 2 other names
Description: tRNA_Pseudo_???
Source: RNAcentral